CCCUCUGCAGUCUGAUCGUAUCAGUGUCCAGCGUGGGAGAAGCAGGCAUCCCAGCUACAGGAAUGGUCACCACUCUCUUUAUUCUGACCGUCAUUGGGAUCCCUGCGAGGGAUGCUUCCCUUCUGCUGGUGUUAGAAUGGCUGCUAGAUCGUCUCAACACUGCUGUUAACGUUCUGGGAGACUGCAUCGGCGUGGCCAUUGUCGACCAUUUGUCAAGAGCUGAACUGGAAAUAAUGGACAGACAGGAGCAGAGGAGGAGAGCUUGAGGUCCAGGUUCAUACAAUAAAGAGGAGGACCCCGGACACCAUGAGGAGUUAUUAAGUGCCAAGAAUGAGUUUUUCUUAAAUGUGUUUCUUAAAAUGUCAUAUAUUUGUUGUUACAUGUUUUGCAUUUUGAUUUAAGAAACAUGUCAUUUGAUAAAAGAUUGAUGCAAAGAAUGUAAGUAUUGUAUUAAGUGAAUUUGCAGCAGGCAAGGUUGAUUUUAAAAUAAUUCUUUGAGUGCAAUGCAGUGUUUCUCUUUGAACUAUUUAUUUAUUUCUGUCACCUUUAUUGCAGAUUUUUUUUUUUUGGUCAGUGUUUUUUAAAUGAACUGUUUUAGUUGGAUUCAUUGAUUUUUUUUCUGAGCAUUACAUUUUUGUUGAUUUGAUUUAUUUGUAUACAAUUUUGUCUUUUUUUUGAAUAUUGUAUUUAGUGUAUUCACAGUACCAAUGGGUUGAUGCAGAGUUGCAAUGCAGAGUAUCUCUUAGAUUCCUUACUAGUUAUUUGCUGUCACCUCUAUGCAUAUGUACAUUUAUAUAUAAAUGUUUUGUAUAU
Long non-coding RNA from Notothenia coriiceps (black rockcod), 813 nucleotides. RefSeq lists it as uncharacterized. Lineage: Eukaryota; Metazoa; Chordata; Actinopteri; Perciformes; Nototheniidae. The record is from RefSeq and is a predicted model, not a curated record. The transcript is spliced from 3 exons.